Long non-coding RNA from Carya illinoinensis, 798 nucleotides. RefSeq lists it as uncharacterized. Lineage: Eukaryota; Viridiplantae; Streptophyta; Magnoliopsida; Fagales; Juglandaceae. The transcript has 2 exons. The record is from RefSeq and is a predicted model, not a curated record.
GCUAUAUAGCUGAUUACCUCACUAUUUCCAUUAGCUAAUUUUACAAUUUUUUCCUUUGUCAUCUUGUCUUUGGAGCAAGUCUUUGUGCCCUUUAGGGUUUUGUUUUUUAUGGAAGGUAGUUGAUGCGGUUGUUGGUGUAGUUGGUCUUUAAUGGCCAUCGAGCAGGAAUACUGCACAGAAGAAUUGAAGUAGGUAUUUUGACCUAAUUGCAUCUGUAAAGAAAGAAAGAAAGAAAGAAAGGAAAUAGCACAAUUAAUCUGUGUACUGAUGUAUUGAUGGUGCUGUUGUGGGCGCAUUUAAAACAAAAGAAAGUGUACCUGGAUAUGAUGAUGCCAUUUCGCUUGCUUGAGAAACUUAUUAAGGAGAGAAUGCGUAAAGUCAAAAGCUGCAUUGGGCAGGCAUGCAGAGUUUCAUCAAAGUAGGGUGCAUGUUUUAGUAGCAUGGAUGGAAACAUGUUUGGCACACAGGGAAAAAGAAAAGAAAAUCAAAGGAAGGAGAGGAGAUCACAAUUUUGAGCUCUCAGUUAUCAACUUUUAGCACUAGCAUCACAAUUCAUGACUUGGGUUGCUACUUCAUCUUCUAUGUACUUUUCAAGAUUUGAAAUGACUAGAUUGUUCACAAUUGUUGUCCCCUUUUUAAUUCAAUGAGAAUAAUUUUGUCAGUUCAUGUCAUAAAAACACAAUCAUACCCAACUUAAGUGUGCAAAAUGAAUAGUAAUUGGUGAUUCAUGUGUAGGAUAUGUAAUUUACCUUAAAAAGAUGUUUGUCAGCUGCUCCUAAAUGAUUUUUUCUUUUCUAA